CUCUCACCGCUCGGAGACCCCCACCCUCGCGGAUCCAACGCACCGGCGCCUCCUCCGAUCCAGAUCGACACGCCCCUUCCGCCACCCCCGCCCUCGCGGCCCCUUCCUCCCCUAGCCCCGACCACCCCCCUUCCGCCAUCCAAAGUUACAGCAGGCGCUCCCCUCGAUCCCUCCCACCGCCAUCUCCCUCCCUCAGAUCGAGCUCCCCCUCCCCUCUUCCUCCCACCUCUCGACACCCGCAGUCCCUCCCGUCUCCCACCCGCACUCUCUAUCUUCCUCGAUCGAUUCCCACCGUAGACGAGGUCGAGGCUGACCCAAGAUCGAGCCCAUGCCCAGACUCACAAGUGAAGCCCCGCGGAGCUGCCCACAAACUGCUCCUCUUCCCCAACCCCCGAUUCUUCUCCAAUCUCCGCCAUCGCCGUCGAUCCCCACCCCCAUCGGCAACCUCGUCUCCCCGCCCCCCCCCCCAUCCCCAACCCCACCGCCGACCGACCUCCCUCCUCAUCUCGUCCAUCCACCCAUGGAAACCCCCUCUUCCACGGAUCCACCCACCCAUGCCCACCAGUUCUGGCGAUGGAUGGGGCGCACCAGUUCUGGCGAUGGAUGGGGCGCACCAGUUCUGGCGAUGGCAGCGCCGGACCCGCACCCACCUGUGCGAUGGAGGUCGGCCGCAUCGGGAUCCACCUGCGUGAUGGAGCCCGGCCGGAUCGGUGUGGCGCUGCACACCACACCACACCGGAGCUUGCUGCUGUGCUGGUCGUUGACAACGACGCAACUCCGGUGGGACCUAGACGCCCAAGGUACGUACGCCGUUCUUGCCAACUCUUCCAUCUCCUCUCAUGCGUGGCUUGCGUGCUGCAGAUCCGACCCCCCAUCCUUCCUUCCUUGUGUUCAUGGAACGACAAUGGCAAGGGGACGACCGAUGUGCGUGGUGGACCAGGAGGUGGAGAACCGUCUCGCCCUCCUUGUUCACAUCACCUCCCUUUGAUUUCCCUUGGACACUUGGAGAGAGAGAAGGAAGAUGGCGGACGAGGGGAUGGCCAACUGCAUCGACAUCAUCCUCGCCAUCAUCCUGCCGCCGCUCGGCGUCUUCCUCAAGUUCACCUGCCGGAUCGAGUUCUGAAUCUGCUUGCUGCUCACCUUUUUCGGCUACCUCCCUGGCAUCAUCUACGCCGUCUGGGUCAUCACUAAGUAGGUGUCAGAGGGGCUCCUCACCUCUGGCUGCCUCUAGGUGACCCAAGGUUGCUGAAGAGGAGCAGCAGCUGCACAAGAGUAUCUGAAGAUGACUCCUCCGUUUCUAACCCAUCCCCUUCCUUCCACUGUUUUGGAUGAUGAACUUGAUCCUGCUUAAUUAAUUAAUUUCUCAUCGUGCUUAAUUAGCUGUAAAUGUGCCCCCUUAUUGAAGAAGAAGAAGAAGAAGAUAAUACAAAUGUAAUUUAAUUGGAUGGUCCCUUUCAUCGUGCUUAAUUAGCUGUAAAUGUGCCUCCCUUACUGAAGAAGAUAAGAAUCCAUAUGUGUUAUGCAAAAUUAACUUUGUCAUCUUGUAAGCACUCUAGGCAGUGUCUAGAGGGUGAAAAUAUGAGAACAAAAAAGAAUUACUGGAUUAAUUUAAAACAUCCAUCCUUUACUCCGUCCAUGUCAUUGUUAUUUACCCCUGGGAGUAUUUUUAACUUGAAAAUCUCUGGUGAACUGCCAUUUCGAGUACAUUUUCUUGCUCUGUUAAUUUUUUGGGUUACUCCAUCUUGCUCUGUUAAGUAAAAUUUGAUAUGUGGAGUAGCAGCAGUAAGCUAGACCCUCCAUCUUGCUCUGUACAUAGUCAAAGCUACUCCAAGUUAGCAGCAAUACUGUUAACUUCUCAAUUUGCUUGGAUUACAUUUAACUUCUAGUACUCCAGUACUCUAGUAAUUUUGCUUAGAGUAUUUAACAUGAUUGAACUGUACAUGUGUGGAGUAAUUUUGCUGGGAGUAUUUAACAAGAUUGAACAAGAUUUAACUUGUCAACAUUUAACAGUAUUUUCAGUAAGUAUUCUGAACAUGCUUCUGAAUAUUUCCAGAUUUUGAACAUGCAAGCAAAUCUGCAGGAGUAAACAAGUUCUUGCGGUAGAUAUUGCAAGUGUUUUAUCUAAACAUCUACUCUCACCGAAGAUAUUUCAAGUGGUCUGACCAGAUUUUCUCAGUUUGCAAGUUUACUUACUUUUCCAGUUAAUUAACUGGACAUCUUGGAGUAGUUAGAAAAUCAUGAAUUAUUUGCAUAAAACCAUAGAAGUAUUGUACUCCAGGGUGCAUUACUUACAUAAACUUGUUUGCAAGCUUAUUUUCUGACUCACAUAUUCUGAAACUAAAAAAGCUUAGUUAACUUGUGUAGUACUUUGGGUAAAAAUGGAAUGGUUCCAUCCUGCACAACAUACUUUGAGUGAAUGUUGAGUACUGUAUGCACUUGUGUAAUAUAUGUUGCUUGAUGAAUGCCUGGGUGUGUCACUUGUGUAAUAUAUGUUGGUUGAUGAAUGCCUGGGUGUGUCACUGCUUGUUCCAUGCUACAUUUAGGAAUUGUUCAUUUUUGUGUUAUGACAACUUCACUGCAUCCUGCCGAAACCUUUUUAAAAUCUUGCAGAUUCUAGUGCUACCACACAACUAGAUCAGUAUUUGAUUACUAUUACAAGUGGAGGUCUAAAUCAGCAGAGAACAGGGAAGUCAGCUCCCCUUGGAUGGUGCAGUGUAGCAAAUCAAUGUCGAUUCAUUCAUUCUUUGAUGUUGGCUUUCAUUCUUCCAAAGUUGGGUGUACAGGAGCUCUAGGAAGAAGAAUGCCGAAGAUAAACCACACCCAGCAAUGCGUUUUAGCUCACUAGAGAUAGUUAUGCUUGGAGCUAGUUAUGUGUAUAUUUAGUUGUAUUUUAUAGCUGAAUACCAGAAUUGUACUAUGCUUGGCUGUUGUAUGAAAUAUUAUGCCUUAUUGGCUCUUUUUGAAUCAAAUUAUCUAAUUGCACAGAUA
This is a non-coding RNA of Aegilops tauschii subsp. strangulata, 2988 nucleotides long. The record is from RefSeq and is a predicted model, not a curated record. Lineage: Eukaryota; Viridiplantae; Streptophyta; Magnoliopsida; Poales; Poaceae.